Molecule: ribosomal RNA, 887 nt
Filed under: uncultured Synechococcus sp.
Lineage: Bacteria; Bacillati; Cyanobacteriota; Cyanophyceae; Synechococcales; Synechococcaceae
Description: bacterial SSU rRNA
Rfam family: Bacterial small subunit ribosomal RNA
Source: RNAcentral
GUGUGGUAGGGGCAGAGGGAAUUCCCGGUGUAGCGGUGUAAUGCGUAGAUAUCGGGAAGAACACCAGUGGCGAAGGCGCUCUGCUGGGCCAUAACUGACGCUCAUGGACGAAAGCCAGGGAGCGAAAGGGAUUAGAUACCCCUGUAGUCCUGGCCGUAAACGAUGAACACUAGGUGUCGGGGGAAUCGACCCCCUCGGUGUCGUAGCCAACGCGUUAAGUGUUCCGCCUGGGGAGUACGCACGCAAGUGUGAAACUCAAAGGAAUUGACGGGGGCCCGCACAAGCUGUGGAGUAUGCGGUUUAAUUCGAUGCAACGCGAAGAACCUUACCAGGGUUUGACAUCCUGCGAACCCCUGAGAACUCGGGGGGUGCCUUAGGGAACGCAGUGACAGGUGGUGCAUGGCUGUCGACAGCUCAUGUCGUGAGAUGUUGGGUUAAGUCCCGCAACGAGCGCAACCCACGUCUUUAGUUGCCAGCAUUCAGUUGGGCAAUCUAGAUAGACCGCCGGUGAUAAACCGGAGGAAGGUGUGGAUGACGUCAAGUCAUCAUGCCCCUUACAUCCUGGGCUACACACGUACUACAAUGCUACGGACAAAGAGCAGCGAUCGCGCGAGGGCUAGCAAAUCUCAUAAACCGUGGCUCAGUUCAGAUCGUAGGCUGCAACUCGCCUACGUGAAGGAGGAAUCGCUAGUAAUCGCAGGUCAGCAUACAGCGGUGAAUACGUUCCCGGGCCUUGUACACACCGCCCGUCACACUAUGGAAGUUGGCCACGCCCGAAGCCGUUACUCCAACCCUUGUGGAGGAGGACGUCGAAGGUGGGGCUGAUGACUGGGGUGAAGUCGUAACAAGGUAGCCGUACCGGAAGGUGCGGCUGGAUCACCUCCUAA